CUUAAAUCGCCCUUUACGGGGAGGUGAUGCUGGAGAACCAUCAGGAUUUUGUUUCUUUGGGUAAGCAUGACUUUCCUCAGUGACUCAGAAUCUGCCAUUGCGUGCGCGUGCAAAGAAUAUGGCUUUUCUUUUCUCACUGGGGCAGAAUUGUACAUCUUUGGAUAGAUCCCUAGGAAGGGUAAAAGGAUGGUUUGUGAGUUUAUUUAUUGUUUGUUGUUUGUUUCUGUUUAAUGCCUGUCUUAGUACUAGGAUUCGGUCGCUGCUUUGAAAACAUGUUGCCUAGGAAAGUAGUAGUAAAAUCCUACCUCCUUACCAAGAGGUGAAGAACAGGUUCCUCUAGAUGUCAAAAAUCAUUCAAAAGAGCGUGAAGUGCAGUCAUAAGGAAGAGUAAUGAAGGAGAGGUAUAGAGGGAGCAUACAGAAUCUUGUAGGAAAAGGAACCACAAGACAGUUUUUUUUUUGUUUUUUGUUUUUUUAAAGAUUUUAUUUUUCCUUUUUCUCCCCAAAGCCCCCCAGUACAUAGUUGUGCAUUUUUACUUGUGGGUCCUUCUGGUUGUGGCAUGUGGGAUGCCGCUUCAGCGUGGCCUGAUGAGUGGUGCCAUGUCCACGCCCAGGAUUCGAACUGGUGAAACCCUGGGCCGCUGAAGCCGAGUUCAUGAACUUAACCACUCGGCCACGGGGCCAACCCCACACAAGACAGUUUUUAAAAUAAGAGAGGAAAGCCUGAGAUAAUGCCAGAACUCCUUGGACCAGUGUAGAUGAACCAGAAGAACAGUAGGCAGAACAGGACAUUGAAACAGAAUUAAGGAGAACUGCUGAGUCCAAGUCACAGAAGUUCCUAAGGCCAGGGGCAGGAAAGUUCAGCAAGGUGGCCAAGGAUGUGGCUGUCAUGUCGGUAAAGUCUCCAUGCAGCCUGAGGGACACCCCGGGCUGAGAGGAAACAGCCUUUUUGAUAUGGAUGGAAUCUGUUGGAUAAGGGAAGGUUGGACUGAGACCCUAGCUUUAAUUAGGUAAAACUGAAAGUGAGUAUGCUCUCUUCUGGGAAUUGUCCUAAGGGAAAAAAUUUUUUUAAAAGGUUUAUCUCAAUUUUCCCUAAAAUUGUGAAAAAAUGGAAACAACAUAGAUACUUGGUAAUAGAGAUUUAGGUAAGUGAAUUAUUGUACAUCCAUAAUGGACCACAGUAUUGUAUGAACCUUGAGGAUGAUAUUUAUACAGUUAGAAAUAUAUUACUGAUAUAUUGUUAAAUGAUAAAAGCAGGGUACAAAAUGAUUGGAACUUGAGUACAUUUAUAGCAUAUAUUUACAUGCAUAGAAAAAGUUUGGAAGACUCUACACCAAAAUUUUAUGCCUAAUUAUCUUGCACCAGUAGGCUUACAGGUGACUUUUCGUUUUCUUUUUUUGGAUUUCUUGAUUGUCUACAAUGAACAUGGAAUAUUUUUAAAUAUUUUAAAAACUACAAAGAAGAAGAGGAAACACAUUUUUAAAUGCAGAGUGAUUAAUGUAAAAUUUGGUGUAGUGGCUCCCUCAUGAGGUGGAAGGAAGAGAAGAUGAGGGGCUUCAAUCUUGGUGUUAACGUUUAUUUCUUAAGUUAGAUGGUGGGUUCGUAGGUGUUUGUUUUGGUCUUUAUGCCUUUCGUAUGUCUUAAAUAUUUAAUAAUGAAUUUAAAAACUAAACACAGAAAAUUAAGGCUUUAUAAAUGUCACUGCUUUAAAUUUUUAAAAGCCAAAGACAUCAUAGUUUCUUUUUAAGGAUUUCUAAAAAAUUGUUUAUUGGUGUUUUCAGUUUUAAGUGUUUUAUAUUAACUGUACGUAAGUUGAAUUAUAUUUCUAAAACUCUUCCAGUUUGAUUUCUAGUUUCAUCAAAUUCAAUACAAUUGCACAGAAUUAUAAUUAAGGGAUAAAAAUUUAUUUAAAAAACUACAAAAGAAAAUGGGAUGGCUUCUUCACUUGAGUUCCUUGAGGGGCAGAACCUUCUCCGUGUUCCACUCCCCUCAGCUAAGAAUUUUCCCUCAAUUUGCAAGAAUACUAAUUUCAUCUGGAGGAGGUUCCUAGAUAUUUAUCAGGGAAAAAUAGUGAACUAUCUCAAUAGAUACAGAUCAGAUUUUCUAGAAAGUCAGUCCUGACGUACCCUUCAGAGAAGGGAAAUUAUCCUCUUCUUCUAGAAAUAAGCAUGUGCUGUCUGGAUAGUUCCAUUUCCCUCCCUCGAGAGUAAGGAAAGUAAUUAAACCCUGAGUUGGCUAGGGAUUUCCAUCCCAAAUAGCCAUUUGUCAUUUUGUUCUCUGUGAGCAGAACUUCUAAUUCUUAAAUCUGGUGUGAUUUUCCAGUUGAAGAGAGGCAAAGAGCCAUGGAAACUUGAUCAUCAGGAAGCUGAGGAGAGAGAAGUCCCAGGAAGCACUUCUCUAGGAAUGCAAGGCUAGACUUAAGAGCCAGGACUCAACUGAAAAGCAGGAUGUUUCUAAAAAAGUAAAGUCAUUACUGAAAAUACAAGACAUGAAUGAAAAACCUCAGAAAAGAUGGUCCUCUGGGUCCUGUACUUGGCCCAGAAAACCCUGAGGGCACAAAGAAAGAAAAUGCUUCAGGGGAGACUUUGAAGAAAUCGUCCCCCAAGGAGAAGGACUCAGGCAAGGAUACACUCUUGCCAAACAAACUGACAAUAAGGAGAUACAGUUGGAAGGCAGUGUAUGUGGGAAGACCUUAUAUAACCAUUUACCCCUCACUUGCCAUCAGAGGACCCACACUGAAGAGAAGCCCUACGACUAUAAAGAAUGCGGGAAAGCCUUCAGCUAUAGGAGUAGUCUUAAGAAACAUUUGAUGUCUCACACUGGCAAGAGCACCUCUGAAGGCAGCGAAUGUCAGGAAACUUUCCAUGACCAAUUAACCCUUAUUGAACAUCAGCGAAGUCAUACCAGAGGGAAGCCUUUUGAAUGUAAUGAAUGUGACAAGGCUUUCUUUGUCCACUUGUGCUUUACUCCACAUCAGAGAAUUCAUACUGGAGAAAGACCUUGUGAGUGUACAGAAUGUGGGAAAUCCUUUAGCCAGAAAAGCAAUCUCAGUCACCACAUGCUCACUCACCCUGGAGAGUGGCCCUGUGGGUGCAAGGCAUGUGACAAAGCUCUGCUUGACCACUCCUCCCUCGUUCACCACAGGAAAGCGCACACUAGAAAGACCCCUUUUGAAUGUAAUGAGUGUGGGAAAGUUUUCUUUGACCCCUCAUCCCUUAAUAAACAUCAGAAAAUUCAUAGUGGAGACAAGCCCUAUAAAGGCACUGAAUGUGGGAAAGCCUUCCUCCAGAAAAGACAACUUAUUCAACAUGAAAGAGUGCACACUGGAGAGAAAUCCUGCAAGUGCAGCAUGUGUGGGAAAGUGCUCAGUUGAAAGUCAUCUAUCAUCUGACAUCAGCGACAUUAUGCAGACAGGCUUCAGAGUAUCACGAAGGUGCUUCAGCUGGACAAGGGACCCCCGUAGUGACUUUGAAACCAGAGGCCAACUUGCUUUAACUAUACUCAGUUAGUUGUCUGUUUGCAAAAGUAGUUAGAUAAUGCAUUGCUAAAACCUGCCCUAUAAAUAACGUCUCUGAUGCCUGGGUCACCGUAAUAACAGGUGCUUGAGUUUUUCAGGAUCUGAAAGUCGACUCCUUGUCCAGUUCAGGCUGGUUAAGACAACCAACUCAUCAACUGGACCUGCACAGAUGACCAAUAGGUGACACUGUGACAUCAAGGAGCUGAAAACUCCACCCUCAGAUCAUGGUAAUGCUGCCAUUUUGUGAAUAUGUGUCCUAUGAAGAGCCAUGAAGCUUGACUAGACUUGCACGGAUCAUCAAUUACCUCACUUCUCCUUCCCUCCAAUCAUCUUUUCCCACUUCAGACCAUCCUGCCUGCCCCCUUAUCCCAUAAAUAUCCCUCGUCCCCAUUUUGGGGGGGAGGUAGAUUUGCCCACCUCCUUGCUUGGCUGCCUUGUGAUUAAAUCCUUUCUCUUUGCAGACUCGUCAUCUCAAUGAUUGGCAUAAUUGUGUGCCAGGAAAAACAAACCUGGUUCAGUAACUUCAAGAUAAUGAAGAUUUAUCUUUGAGCGCCUUCUAACUACUGUUAAUU
Molecule: long non-coding RNA, 4088 nt
Organism: Equus caballus (horse)
Lineage: Eukaryota; Metazoa; Chordata; Mammalia; Perissodactyla; Equidae
Source: Ensembl